AGGACGAACGCUGGCGGCGUGCCUAACACAUGCAAGUCGAACGGAGAUUUCAGCAAUGAAGUCUUAGUGGCAAACGGGUGAGUAACGCGUAGACAACCUACCUUCUAGAUGGGGACAACACUGCGAAAGUGGUGCUAAUACCGAAUGUUGUAUUUUGGUUGCAUAACUGAGAUACUAAAGAUGGCCUCUAUUUAUAAGCUAUCGCUAGAAGAUGGGUCUGCGUCUGAUUAGCUAGUUGGUGAGGUAAUGGCUCACCAAGGCGACGAUCAGUAGCCGGUCUGAGAGGAUGAACGGCCACACUGGGACUGAGACACGGCCCAGACUCCUACGGGAGGCAGCAGUGGGGAAUCUUCCGCAAUGGACGAAAGUCUGACGGAGCAACGCCGCGUGAGUGAAGAAGGUUUUCGGAUCGUAAAACUCUGUUUUCAGGGACGAAUGUGCAGCUUGUAAAUAAUGAGUUGUAAUGACGGUACCUGAGUAGAAAGCCACGGCUAACUACGUGCCAGCAGCCGCGGUAAUACGUAGGUGGCAAGCGUUGUCCGGAAUUAUUGGGCGUAAAGCGCGCGCAGGUGGGAUAUUAAGUCUGGUGUUAAAGUUCGGGGCUCAACCCCGUGAAGCAUUUGGAAACUGAUAUUCUUGAGUGCAGGAGAGGAAAGUGGAAUUCCUAGUGUAGCGGUGAAAUGCGUAGAUAUUAGGAGGAACACCAGUGGCGAAGGCGACUUUCUGGACUGUGUCUGACACUGAGGCGCGAAAGCUAGGGUAGUGAACAGGAUUAGAUACCCUGGUAAUCCUAGCUGUAAACGAUGGGUACUAGGUGUAGGGGGUAUCGACCCCUCCUGUGCCGGAGUUAACGCAAUAAGUACCCCGCCUGGGGAGUACGGCCGCAAGGUUG
RNAcentral lists this ribosomal RNA (892 nucleotides) under uncultured bacterium. Its description in RNAcentral is "bacterial SSU rRNA". It matches the Rfam family "Bacterial small subunit ribosomal RNA", at positions 26 to 896 of the family's 1533-position model. The record is from RNAcentral.